GAUUAAAUGGCUGAAGUUUAGGCGAUAAAUUGUAAAUUUAUAUAUAAGAGCAAAUCUUUUUAAUCA
This 66-nucleotide transfer RNA is filed under the name Culex fergusoni. Its description in RNAcentral is "tRNA-Tyr". It matches the Rfam family "tRNA". From Rfam's summary of the family: Transfer RNA (tRNA) molecules are approximately 80 nucleotides in length. Their secondary structure includes four short double-helical elements and three loops (D, anti-codon, and T loops). Further hydrogen bonds mediate the characteristic L-shaped molecular structure. tRNAs have two regions of fundamental functional importance: the anti-codon, which is responsible for specific mRNA codon recognition, and the 3' end, to which the tRNAs corresponding amino acid is attached (by aminoacyl-tRNA synthetases). tRNAs cope with the degeneracy of the genetic code in two manners: having more than one tRNA (with a specific anti-codon) for a particular amino acid; and 'wobble' base-pairing, i.e. permitting non-standard base-pairing at the 3rd anti-codon position. Lineage: Eukaryota; Metazoa; Arthropoda; Insecta; Diptera; Culicidae. The record is from RNAcentral.